This 492-nucleotide ribosomal RNA is filed under the name uncultured bacterium. RNAcentral's name for it is "partial 16S ribosomal RNA". It matches the Rfam family "Bacterial small subunit ribosomal RNA", at positions 29 to 507 of the family's 1533-position model. The record is from RNAcentral.
AGUGAACGCUGGCGGUAGGCCUAACACAUGCAAGUCGAACGGCAGCACAGUAAGAGCCUGCUCUUACGGGUGGCGAGUGGCGGACGGGUGAGGAAUACAUCGGAAUCUACUUUUUCGUGGGGGAUAACGUAGGGAAACUUACGCUCAUACCGCAUACGACCUACGGGUGAAAGCAGGGGAUCUUCGGACCUUGCGCGAUUGAAUGAGCCGAUGUCGGAUUAGCUAGUUGGCGGGGUAAAGGCCCACCAAGGCGACGAUCCGUAGCUGGUCUGAGAGGAUGGUCAGCCACACUGGAACUGAGACACGGUCCAGACUCCUACGGGAGGCAGCAGUGGGGAAUAUUGGACAAUGGGCGCAAGCCUGAUCCAGCCAUACCGCGUGGGUGAAGAAGGCCUUCGGGUUGUAAAGCCCUUUUGUUGGGAAAGAAAAGCAGCAGGUUAAUACCCCGCUGUUCUGACGGUACCCAAAGAAUAAGCACCGGCUAACUUCGUG